UGGGUCUAAACAUCCGUAGCUUGCUUAAUAAGUUUCUUGUGAAAUUCUGUCUCUUAAGGGCAGAGCGCGCAGGAAGUACUGUUGAGCUAGAGACUGGAAGACGUGAAAAGUACGUUCGAAGUAGCGGUAAAAUGCGUUAAUCUUGAGCGGACUCACAAUAGCGAAGGCAUUUCACGAGGACAGUUCUGACAGUAAGGGAUGAAGGCUAGGGGCGCGAAAGGGAUUAGAUACCCCUGUAGUCCUAGCAGUAAACACUGUACACUAAACAUCAGUACCUCCUCGAGAGGCAUUGGUGCUGUAGCGAAGGCGAAGAGUGUACUACCUGGGAAGUAUAGUCGCAAGGCCGAAACUUAAAGGAAUUGGCGGGGGAGCACAAG
RNAcentral lists this ribosomal RNA (377 nucleotides) under uncultured euryarchaeote. RNAcentral's name for it is "bacterial SSU rRNA". It matches the Rfam family "Archaeal small subunit ribosomal RNA", at positions 505 to 882 of the family's 1478-position model. Lineage: Archaea; Methanobacteriati; Methanobacteriota. The record is from RNAcentral.